Molecule: ribosomal RNA, 504 nt
Filed under: uncultured bacterium
Lineage: Bacteria
Description: partial 16S ribosomal RNA
Rfam family: Bacterial small subunit ribosomal RNA
Source: RNAcentral
AUUGAACGCUGGCGGCAGGCCUAACACAUGCAAGUCGAACGGUAGCACAGAGAGCUUGCUCUCGGGUGACGAGUGGCGGACGGGUGAGUAAUGUCUGGGAAACUGCCCGAUGGAGGGGGAUAACUACUGGAAACGGUAGCUAAUACCGCAUAACGUCGCAAGACCAAAGUGGGGGACCUUCGGGCCUCACACCAUCGGAUGUGCCCAGAUGGGAUUAGCUAGUAGGUGGGGUAAUGGCUCACCUAGGCGACGAUCCCUAGCUGGUCUGAGAGGAUGACCAGCCACACUGGAACUGAGACACGGUCCAGGCUCCUACGGGAGGCAGCAGUGGAGAAUAUUGCACAAUGGGCGCAAGCCUGAUGCAGCCAUGCCGCGUGUAUGAAGAAGGCCUUCGGGUUGUAAAGUACUUUCAGCGGGGAGGAAGGCGGUGAAGUUAAUAACUUCACCGAUUGACGUUACCCGCAGAAGAAGCACCGGCUAACUCCGUGCCAGCCGCCGCAGUAA